GACGAACGCUGGGGCGUGCUAACACGUGCAAGUCGAACGCUAAAGCCUAGCUUGCUGGAUGGGUGAGUGGCGAACGGGGUGAGUGACACGUGAGUAACCUGCCCUCUUCUUUGGGAUAACGCCCGGAAACGGGUGCUAAUAACGGAUAUUCAGUGAUCUUCGCAUGGGGGUUGGUGGAAAGGUUUUUUCUGGUGGGGGAUGGGCUCGCGGCCUAUCAGCUUGUUGGUGGGGUGAUGGCCUACCAAGGCUUUGACGGGUAGCCGGCCUGAGAGGGUGACCGGUCACAUUGGGACUGAGAUACGGCCCAGACUCCUACGGGAGGCAGCAGUGGGGAAUAUUGCACAAUGGGCGAAAGCCUGAUGCAGCGACGCCGCGUGAGGGAUGGAGGCCUUCGGGUUGUAAACCUCUUUCGCUCAUGGUCAAGCCGCAACUUAGGGUUGUGGUGAGGGUAGUGGGUAAAGAAGCGCCGGCUAACUACGUGCCAGCAGCCGCGGUAAUACGUAGGGCGCGAGCGUUGUCCGGAAUUAUUGGGCGUAAAGGGCUUGUAGGCGGUUGGUCGCGUCUGCCGUGAAAUCCUCUGGCUUAACUGGGGGCGUGCGGUGGGUACGGGCUGACUUGAGUGCGGUAGGGGAGACUGGAACUCCUGGUGUAGCGGUGGAAUGCGCAGAUAUCAGGAAGAACACCGGUGGCGAAGGCGGGUCUCUGGGCCGUUACUGACGCUGAGGAGCGAAAGCGUGGGGAGCGAACAGG
This 750-nucleotide ribosomal RNA is filed under the name uncultured Actinomyces sp. RNAcentral's name for it is "bacterial SSU rRNA". It matches the Rfam family "Bacterial small subunit ribosomal RNA", at positions 28 to 776 of the family's 1533-position model. The record is from RNAcentral. Lineage: Bacteria; Bacillati; Actinomycetota; Actinomycetes; Actinomycetales; Actinomycetaceae.